This is a non-coding RNA of Yersinia pseudotuberculosis YPIII, 102 nucleotides long. Lineage: Bacteria; Pseudomonadati; Pseudomonadota; Gammaproteobacteria; Enterobacterales; Yersiniaceae. The record is from Rfam.
GCGAAUUGCUACGAUAUCAUUAUAAUGCCCAACCUUAGUGCUGAUCGCCGUGCCAGUUUCGUCGUAAAAAGGUGACAAAUCGGUAGCAGCAGGUUAUUUUUU